CCGCGGUAAUACGAAGGGUCCGAGCGUUAUCCGGAAUCAUUGGGUUUAAAGGGUCCGCAGGCGGCCAGAUAAGUCAGUGGUGAAAUUCCGUGGCUCAACCACGGAACUGCCAUUGAUACUGUUUGGCUUGAAUCAGUUCGAGGAUGCCGGAAUGUGUGGUGUAGCGGUGAAAUGCAUAGAUAUCACACAGAACACCAAUUGCGAAGGCAGGUGUCCAGAACUGUAUUGACGCUGAUGGACGAAAGCGUGGGUAGCGAACAGGAUUAGAUACCCUGGUAGUCCACGCCGUAAACGAUGGUCACUAGCUGUCCGGACUUAGGUCUGGGUGGCCAAGCGAAAGUGAUAAGUGACCCACCUGGGGAGUACGUUCGCAAGAAUGAAACUCAAAGGAAUUGACGGGGGCCCGCACAAGCGGUGGAGCAUGUGGUUUAAUUCGAUGAUACGCGAGGAACCUUACCAGGGCUUAAAUGCAUUAUGACAGGGGUGGAGACACCCUUUUCUUCGGACAUUUUGCAAGGUGCUGCAUGGUUGUCGUCAGCUCGUGCCGUGAGGUGUCAGGUUAAGUCCUAUAACGAGCGCAACCCCUGUUGUUAGUUGCCAGCGAGUAAUGUCGGGAACUCUAGCAAGACUGCCGGUGCAAACCGCGAGGAAGGUGGGGAUGACGUCAAAUCAUCACGGCCCUUACGCCCUGGGCCACACACGUGCUACAAUGGCAGGUACAGCAAGCAGCCACUGGGCGACCAGGAGCGAAUCUGUAAAGCCUGUCACAGUUCGGAUCGGAGUCUGCAACUCGACUUCGUGAAGCUGGAAUCGCUAGUAAUCGCAUAUCAGCCAUGAUGCGGUGAAUACGUUCCCGGGCCUUGUACACACCGCCCGUCAAGCCAUGGAAGCUGGGAGUGCCUGAAGUCCGUCGCCGCAAGGAGCGGCCUAGGGUAAGACCGGUAACUGGGGCUAAGUCGUAACAAGGUAGCC
This 972-nucleotide ribosomal RNA is filed under the name uncultured bacterium. RNAcentral's name for it is "bacterial SSU rRNA". It matches the Rfam family "Bacterial small subunit ribosomal RNA", at positions 515 to 1501 of the family's 1533-position model. The record is from RNAcentral.